Molecule: ribosomal RNA, 301 nt
Filed under: uncultured bacterium
Lineage: Bacteria
Description: partial 16S ribosomal RNA
Rfam family: Bacterial small subunit ribosomal RNA
Source: RNAcentral
CAGCAGCCGCGGGAAUACAGAGGGUGCGAGCGUUAAUCGGAUUUACUGGGCGUAAAGCGUGCGUAGGCGGCUUUUUAAGUCGGAUGUGAAAUCCCUGAGCUUAACUUAGGAAUUGCAUUCGAUACUGGGAAGCUAGAGUAUGGGAGAGGAUGGUAGAAUUCCAGGUGUAGCGGUGAAAUACGUAGAGAUCUGGAGGAAUACCGAUGGCGAAGGCAGCCAUCUGGCCUAAUACUGACGCUGAGGUACGAAAGCAUGGGGAGCAAACAGGAUUAGAUACCCGAGUAGUCCCUGUCUCUUAUAC